UGGGUUUCUCGCCUCCCCCACAAUUUUCAUUAUCUCCUCCACACUUUGUAGAGAAAAGCUUGGGUUUUCUCUCUGGUAAUAAACGGCUUGAGCUGACUCCGUUAGCUCCCUAGGUAAGUUCUUUAAGAACCAUGGGUGAUUCUUAAUUUCUUUAAGUGUAAUUCUCUGCAAGAGAACAUAGAUGAAAAAUGAUUUCAAUAUGGAUUGUGUUUCAACAUAGUAUAGAAAUCAACACUGAGGGAGGGUGCGUUGCAGUUACGAAUACAUCAUGCUUAAGAAUUGGACUCAUUUGACUAAAAUGCAUAAUAAUUUAAUGGCCACAUCUCAUAGAAUCAUUUGAACUAAUAUUAUAAGUUGUCCAUGUAUGUGCAUUUGCUACAUCAUCAAACUAGCUAAUCCUUUUUGAAAAGAAGAUAUCCUUGCAUGAGCAGGAACUGAAGGUUAAGUAAGGUUUGUUUUAAGAUCAAGACUACAUAAUCUUUCGUGUUACCAAAAAUACAAGGACUCUCUGGGCCAGCAUAUAUGUCAGCUAAACACAAUAGUUCUUAAACUUCAGUCACACGCAAAGCAAAAAGUAAUUGAGGAAUUCAUUAAAACUAAAAUGCAGGCAAGAUUGGAUGGAGGCCAAAAAGCAAUCUUCUAGAUCCUAAUAGAGAGCAUCAGAAAGCCGCAACACAUUAUAGUUACAGUAUAUCAUGAUGGGGCUUAGUGGCUCAUUGAAAUGAUGGAAGUUAAAAUGGUAACUUUAAAAGUCAUAUGUACC
Molecule: long non-coding RNA, 763 nt
Filed under: Citrus sinensis (sweet orange)
Lineage: Eukaryota; Viridiplantae; Streptophyta; Magnoliopsida; Sapindales; Rutaceae
Description: long non-coding RNA (CSIN_LNC000369)
Source: RNAcentral